RNAcentral lists this ribosomal RNA (434 nucleotides) under uncultured bacterium. RNAcentral describes it as "partial 16S ribosomal RNA". It matches the Rfam family "Bacterial small subunit ribosomal RNA", at positions 29 to 507 of the family's 1533-position model. The record is from RNAcentral.
AGCGAACGCUGGCGGCAGGCCUAACACAUGCAAGUCGAACGAACCUUUCGGGGUUAGUGGCGGACGGGUGAGUAACACGUGGGAACGUGCCUUUAGGUUCGGAAUAACUCAGGGAAACUUGUGCUAAUACCGAAUGUGCCCUUCGGGGGAAAGAUUUAUCGCCUUUAGAGCGGCCCGCGUCUGAUUAGCUAGUUGGUUGAGGUAAUGGCUCACCAAGGCGACGAUCAGUAGCUGGUCUGAGAGGAUGAUCAGCCACAUUGGGACUGAGACACGGCCCAAACUCCUACGGGAGGCAGCAGUGGGGAAUCUUGCGCAAUGGGCGAAAGCCUGACGCAGCCAUGCCGCGUGAAUGAUGAAGGUCUUAGGAUUGUAAAAUUCUUUCACCGGGGUCGAUAAUGACGGUACCCGGAGAAGAAGCCCCGGCUAACUUCGUG